This 72-nucleotide transfer RNA is filed under the name Camelus bactrianus (Bactrian camel). It matches the Rfam family "tRNA". From Rfam's summary of the family: Transfer RNA (tRNA) molecules are approximately 80 nucleotides in length. The record is from Rfam by way of RNAcentral. RNAcentral also lists the same sequence under 1 other name. Lineage: Eukaryota; Metazoa; Chordata; Mammalia; Artiodactyla; Camelidae.
AAGGGUAUAGCUCAGAGAUAGAGCAUGUGCUUAUCAUGCAUGAGGUCCUGGGUUCAAACCCCAGUAUCUCCA